Molecule: ribosomal RNA, 253 nt
Filed under: uncultured bacterium
Lineage: Bacteria
Description: partial 16S ribosomal RNA
Rfam family: Bacterial small subunit ribosomal RNA
Source: RNAcentral
UACGUAGGGUGCGAGCGUUAAUCGGAAUUACUGGGCGUAAGGCGUGCGCAGGCGGUUCGCCAAGUCAGGUGUGAAAUCCCCGGGCUUAACCUGGGAAUUGCGCUUGAAACUAGCGGGCUUGAGUGUGGCAGAGGGGGGUGGAAUUCCACGUGUAGCAGUGAAAUGCGUAGAGAUGUGGAGGAACACCGAUGGCGAAGGCAGCCCCCUGGGUCAACACUGACGCUCAUGCACGAAAGCGUGGGGAGCAAACAGG